ACGAACGCUGGCGGCGUGCUUCACACAUGCCAGUCGCACGCUGAAGCUCAGCUUUUGUUGGGUGGAUGAGUGGCGAACGGGUGAGUAACCCGUGAGUAACCUGCCUCCUUCUUUGGGAUAACGCCCGGAAACGGGUGCUAAUACUGGAUAUUCACUGGUCUUCGCAUGGGGGUUGGUGGAAAGGGUUUUUCUGGUGGGGGAUGGGCUCGCGGCCUAUCAGCUUGUUGGUGGGGUGAUGGCCUACCAAGGCUUUGACGGGUAGCCGGCCUGAGAGGGUGACCGGUCACAUUGGGACUGAGAUACGGCCCAGACUCCUACGGGAGGCAGCAGUGGGGAAUAUUGCACAAUGGGCGCAAGCCUGAUGCAGCGACGCCGCGUGAGGGAUGGAGGCCUUCGGGUUGUGAACCUCUUUCGCUCAUGGUCAAGCCGCAACAAUGGUUGUGGUGAGGGUAGUGGGUAAAGAAGCGCCGGCUAACUACGUG
Molecule: ribosomal RNA, 482 nt
Filed under: uncultured bacterium
Lineage: Bacteria
Description: partial 16S ribosomal RNA
Rfam family: Bacterial small subunit ribosomal RNA
Source: RNAcentral